AACGCAGCGAAAUGCGAUAAGUAAUGUGAAUUGCAGAAUUCAGUGAAUCAUCGAAUCUUUGAACGCACCUUGCGCUCCUUGGUAUUCCGAGGAGCAUGCCUGUUUGAGUGUCAUUUAAUUCUCAACCUUAUUAGCUUUUGCCGAUAAUGGCUUGGAUGUGGGGGAUUAUUUUUUUGCUGGCUUCUUUCAGAGGUCAGCUCCCCUGAAAUGCAUUAGCUGGUUGCCCCGCGUGGACCGUCUAUUUGGUGUGAUAAUUAUCUACGCCGUGGAUGUCUGCAAUUGGUUUUGGCACUGCUUCUAACCGUCUAUUUCAUUUGGACAAUACAUGACAAUUUGACCUCAAAUCAGGUAGGACUACCCGCUGAACUUAAGCAUAUCAAUAAGCGGAGGAAAAGAAACU
Molecule: ribosomal RNA, 400 nt
Filed under: uncultured fungus
Lineage: Eukaryota; Fungi
Description: eukaryotic LSU rRNA
Rfam family: 5.8S ribosomal RNA (bases 1-113)
Source: RNAcentral